Cajanus cajan (pigeon pea) is the source of this 695-nucleotide non-coding RNA. Lineage: Eukaryota; Viridiplantae; Streptophyta; Magnoliopsida; Fabales; Fabaceae. The record is from RefSeq and is a predicted model, not a curated record.
AUGUCAAUCAGAAGUCAUCCAGUACGAACGCCGGCUAUCAGAACUGUAUGCGCAAAUCCAGGGGAAACAUCGACAAACUCGUAAAUACUAUGCUACCUACAAUGCUUUCUUGGAAAUAAAAGAAUUGAUGUUAAAGGAAACAUCUUUAUUGAAUUCGAUCAUUUCCCAGGUAUUCAUUGGAGAGUUGGAAACAUGCUAUAAGUCUUUCUUUUUAGCAUUUGGUUUGGUGAUUUUUUCUUUAACAUGUUAUUGUCUUUUUAUCUCUAUGGCAUUUUUCUUAUCAUUGGCAGUGCACCAAUUAUACAGCAACCAAAACUACUUUUUCCUUCUACCUGCUGUCUAUCCCAAAUAGCAGUGCGUAGUGGCAAACUUCUAAAUGCUAUAACAAAUAGCAGUAUGGUCACUACAUGAAAGAAUAUAGUUGCAAGAUAAAUAUUUUAUUCUACAUCUUUGAAUUUGGGUUUUAUGACUCAACUCUGCAAAAUAAGUUUGUAAGGUAAGGAUUAUCCAAGUUUUACCCAAAGAGGCUGCAAUUACAACUUGCUAAGGGUGACUGUAAUUAAGGUUAAGCUCUGCACUGCUAUCUAGGAUUUGAUAACCAACUAUCCUAAAUUAUUAUAGUUUAAGCAAUUGGGAACAUGGACAAUUUCUUUACCUCUUACCAAUGUUAAUCAGAUACUACAGAAUAUUUUGGU